Molecule: RNA transcript, 5503 nt
Organism: Photinus pyralis (common eastern firefly)
Lineage: Eukaryota; Metazoa; Arthropoda; Insecta; Coleoptera; Lampyridae
Gene name: organic solute transporter alpha-like protein
Exons: 14
Source: RefSeq, a predicted model, not a curated record
AAACUUAUCAGUCGCGAAGUGUAUUUAGUAUCAGUCGCACUCUUAAUUUCUCCUCAAUUAAGUCUACAUGCGGUGUGGUAAUAACAUUAAAAUUCAUUUGUGCAAGUCGUCGAUUGAUAAAUGACAAUGAAUGAGGACAAUGCGGACGAUGUCUUUUCGGAGCAAGUAAAACGUUACGGAAUUUCAAAAUUGGCAAAACUAACGAAUUAUAAUAACAAUUCGUGCCCGGAAGUGGUACCAUCUACGAAAGAAUAUAUAUCUGCUAUCAAUGUCUAUGGGAUACCUCUAAUUGCGGUGGGAGUUCUAGCUGUGAUACUAAUCCUCUACAUGUUUAUCGACACUCUCCUCUAUAUCAUAAAAAAUUCGCCACCAAGGGUGAAAACAUACUCAGCAUCUGUAAUCGGCGUUUAUCCCGUAGUAGCAAUAGCGACACUAUGUGCAACAAUCGUUCCAAGAUCUCAAUUGUUAGCCGAAGCUGUAACGCAGGGCAUUUUCAUGAUCGGAAUGUACCAGCUAUUUUGCCUUUUCGUAGCGUAUUGCGGAGGAGAGGCGGAACUCAUCCGUAACGUAAAACCAUCGGGUCUAAAUACAAAAGUGGCACCGUGCUGCUGCUGGCCCUGCUGCUGCUGCCUACCAUCUUUUGAUAUCAACAAAAAUCGAGUCCGUAAUUUGAGGCUGCUCGUUCUUCAACUUCCUGUCGUACAAGGACUCGUUUACAUGACCUUAUUAGUAUUAUGGGCCGAAAGGGAGAGGUUAUACCAAGUGAACUACAUCUACAUGCAACCAGUGAUAGUUACCUCGAUAUUUUUCGGAGUAUGGGGCAUGACUAUGACGAUUCAAUUGCUAAAGGAGCUCCUGAAGGAUUAUUGGAUGUUUUCGAAGUUUAUCGUGCUACAGUUGGUGCUAAUUUUGAGCAAAUUGCAAGGUAUCACCAUGAAAGGGGUCGUAAAGCUGCGGCUGCUACCGUGCCAUCCUCCUCUCACUCCAACAGUAUACUCGAACUUAAUUUACAACUGCUUAAUAAUGCUUGAGAUGGUCUUACUAGGAUUUAUAGCGAGAAGAUUAUACAAACGGGCCUUACCUAAUAUGAGUUUAUCUGAGAACAAAAUUUCACCUGUUUGCUUAGUUGGACAACAUAUGGCGGCAAAUGGUUCAAUUAUAGCUGUUGAGAGUAACAAUAAUGACAUUUCUUAUGUCGACCAUAAUGAAAAAAUGAAAGACGAGUCUGAAGGUUACAAAGUGACCACAAAGUGACAGAAAAAAGUGCAACUUUCUAUUGGGCGUCCUCACAGUCGCUUAAUUAAUCACCGUCGUAAACAAAUUAAGUGUCGUUUUCAAGGAUUGGUUUAUCAAGACUAGAACGGAUGGUGAGUGGUAGGUAAUCUUCAGCAGCAUAGUCAAAGGUAGGGUUUCCCUUCACUGAUCGCGUUACAAAUAUCCAUGUAGCGAAGAUUUGGGGGUCAUUUUGAUUGUGAAAGACCUAAGAAAUUUAGGAAGCCGUCGAGAUGUUACUCACACUUGCAUUUGGCUACUGCCUUCUAAGUACAACGUUUGCUGCCCCUCCUGAACAGCAGGUAAUGUUGGAGGACAUGGAGCGUCAGAAUGUCGGCGAAGAUCACAGAGAAAGAUACGAAUAUACUUACCAACAGCAAAUUCGGCCUAAGUUGCCUCAACGGGUUGAGAAACCUCAAAACAUGCGAAUGGAGUACGGGUUUCGACCAAUGAAGACUGCCGUGGCACACGUCCCAAAUAAUCAGUACUAUGAGCAACAAUCUCAAUCGCUACUUACCUAUCAACCAUCAGGACUAGCGCAAUCGCCACCGGCGUAUUUCAUAUACCAGCCCGUCCAGCAAAGGGAGCAGCAAGCAAAUGUGCAACCUAUUACCGAUAACUACCUAACUCAAUACGUUUACCUUCAACAGCCCAGCAACAACAUUGACACCGCCUACGAUCCCAGAACUAAUUUGCAAUACUUCAUGUAUAUCCAACCGGAGUAUCUACAAAGUGGAGCAAGUACUCUACAGCCACAAUUAUCCUCGUCCUAUUUGUACCAAGGAGACAAAUUGCAAUAUCAGUUAGUUUCACCGUCCGCUGUCCAACCACAAGUUACCUACAUUCCGAAGACCUUACCAACACCUCAAAAAUUCAGCUCAAGCUCGCUGGUGCACGGACCAAAGUCUCUGCUUGAUUCCUACGUCCCUUCUCACUUGCAAGUAAAAUACAUCAAUCAAUUACAAAGAGUUCCCAAACGUAAGUUUCAAUCACACGGUUUGAGCAAAAACCUUCGACCUGAACAGAACAUGUAAGCCACCCCUUAUUUAAAUAUUGUUAUUUGUAUGUAUUAUUAAAUAAAUGUGUAAGUGUUUUGUUACACUGUCUCUUGUAUUUAUCUGUUGCACGUUAUCCUUCGCGUUUUAUAAUCAAUGGUUACACUAACGCAUUUAGUAAUAGCACAAUAGUUAAAAAGGGGAAGCAUGGAUGAAUCUUGAGAAAUAUUUAUUGGUUUAUUUAAAAAGUGUUUACAUAAAAUAUAGCAAUGGCGGUCCAGCUGGGUUUCAAGAUUUGGUCUGACACCACCUGUACAGAUGCGAUAAAUGACGAAAACAACACACUUUUCACAGAAUUAUUACAACCGCGUACACACAGUUUCUCCUUCCUUUUCCUAAAUCACCCACACUUGUAACUUAAUGCGUGCACACUGACUCUGCUCUGUAGAGCAAUCGGAAAACCAACACUUCUCCUUUAAUUUUAACUGACAAACAAAUUUCAAAACAUCGGCUGACCGUCGGAAAAAUUGUAUUUGAAAAUUUGCACGCAAAUUCAAAUGACGCGUGAUCCGCCUUCCCCAGCGGCGCGCAAAGCUUUUUAAGUCCGCACCACCUCCAUCGCGUUUUUUAUCUUCGGUAAAGGCCGACGAAAUGCGAGCACUUGUUUACAGUGCAUUUCCUUUCUAAACUUACCCUUGUGCCGCUUACCUCAUUCUUUUAAAUUUUACUUUGAUAAAGUCUGCUUAUCAAGCAUCUGUUAACUACGUAAACACAAUACAUUCUUUACUCACAAGUUGCUUAACUUCUACGUCUUAAAUUACAAAAAAGAACAAUUACAACAUAUUAAAUUAUUGAAUAAUUUUUACAAUAUAAGUAGAACUACAACUAAAAUUAAAUAAAUUCCACCCAGCAACCCAGGAAGGCAUGCUGUUAUUAUUUAGUCCUGUGGUGUGUAUCACAAACGUCAAACUUAACCUGCAAGUUACCGUUGCCAAAAAAAAACUUUAUUUUCCUUUAUUUAGAAUAGGCAAAAUAACAUUUUCUACAGAUACAGGGCUGAUUGUCGGCAUGCCCCACCAAAAUCUCUUAAUAUUUAAAAUUAUGAUCGACCAAAAUGGCAUCCGAGUUAAAAUUGUGAUUGAAAAUAAUACGGUGGAAACUAAGGUCACCUAUACUUUAUGGCCGGCUAUCGACAUAAAGAGGCAAUUUUUUGUAAUGCUGUAUACGAUCCCACAGGUUUUCAUCAUCCGAUGCCGGAAAAGAGUUUUGGAAAGGACACUCAGGGUCCAGGGAGAGGGGUGUAGUAUGUAAAAUUCGUUUGCCAAUACAGUAUUAAGUUCCUUUUGGUAAAAUGAUUUACAGAAGUAGUGGUCUUACGUAGACCGAUUAAGAAGGGUGAGUAAUCGAUUUACUUCGACAAAUGUAUUGAAUAAGUAUAAGAAACCAGUUCGAAACGAAACGCGUAAUUUUAAAUUUAUUAGUAGAUGCUACAGUUUAGUUGACCGCGUCUCCGGGCAGUGUGUAUUGCGCCUUUAUGCGUUAUUAAUUCAAUGCUGUUAAUUGUGGUUAACGAGUGUGCAUUGUACACGAUUCAGCGAUUCAACCAAAAAAGAAGGUACGUGGAAGAGAUUUUUCUUUUUGGAAAUUUUGGGACAACGUAGUCUUGACCAGCACUGACGCAGAUGUCAAUUCUAGAAGCUUAGAAAGCGAUUAUGUGUUACCUAUACGUACUUAAGUAAAAACUGCAUUUCAUGAUUAUUGGAAACAAAUUCACUCGCAGCAUCAGAAAAAUUCCUCGCUUUGGAUUCAAAAUGUGUCGGCUAUUUUUGUGAAAAAUUGUUCAUUAAUAAUAAUAUAUGCAGCUAAUAAGUAUAGGUACCUAUUUAAUUUUCUUCAAUUCACUAGUUUUCUGAUUCCCUAGGAAAAUAUGGGACCUCCAAGAAAUUACAAAUUAAUUACGCACCAAUUAUUUAGGGCUCGGCAGACUACUUCUUCAAAUCGUUCUUCUACCCGUCUAUCCAUCUGGAACUCUGGAACGACAGCACCUAGAGCACAGAUGAAUAUAGACUUGGGAAAGAAGAUUUCGACACCAAUCACCAAUUAUUAAAGGCUCGAUAGAUCCUGCUUCAAAUCCAUCUGGAACUCUGGAACGGAAGCCCCUAGAGCACCGAAACGAGAUUACGUCUUUGUCACAGCUUCCCUAUAGAAACUCAAAUGAGCAACGUAUUGCGAAAUUAAGACAUCUGAGGUAUUUUAUCUGCUCUCCUGCUACGUGGAUCUGCACAAAGGGCCUCCGUCUAGGAACUCACAAGAGCGUAUGAAAUUAAGACGUCUGCUUCCCUGCUGCACAAAGGAACCUUCGGCACCGCAGUCGAGCUUCCACACCAAUGCGUCACACGGGCCGGCAAAGUUGGGACUUUGAAAGCCAACACGAAUUUGGAGCCCUAGGCCAUCGAUUGAUCGCAAUGCUGUUUGAUAUCUACCACAUUCCCGUUGAAAAGGGAUACCACUCCUUCGAUACGAUCUCUAAAUCAAAAUAGAAUGGGCCAACAGCACUUUGGAAAGGAAUACACAGGUGCGUCAAGUACUUCCAUCACAUCUUAUGGAUAUUUUAUGCCAAGAUUUGCUUGAGAUGGGGAGGUAGGCCAUCGAAUCGAUCCCGGUGCCACUUUCCAGUCGUUAGAAAAGGUUGUCAUGUGGAAGUUUCUAAUUCAAAAUGAAGUUGCUCAAAUACACAGCCGGUCUCAAGCAGUACCUACCUCCAUCGCUAGCUAACGACGACACUUUUCCGUUGCGAAGACCGAAGGAACUAGUCACCUCUGCAGUUGUCAACAAAGACCAACAUUCUUAGGGAUUGAGUACUAUUCACCAUCACCACUUCGAAUUCGGCGCUGUCACCAUCAUCAUUCCGGUCCAUCCCUCAUCGAGGUCUAAGGUAGCUACUAGUAGUCAAUCAAAGGGCCUAUGGUGUUUCACUACUAGUAGCUUCAAUUGAGAACAAAAUAUACGUAUCAAGUUAUUUAUUUUUUGUUAUCACUGUUACAAGAACAUUUUGUAAUACAAAAAAAUCUCUAGAAUAGAAUAAUAUUGUACUGCCCUCACUGCUCUUUGCUGGCAGCUGGCAUUAGUUCAUCACACGACAUAGCCUCACCCAGCAAAAAAACAAUUAAAACUGUGAAAGCAAACGGAAUUUUUUUUAUUAAAAAGAGAAUCUAUAUUUAAACUUGAUUAAAAAU